Long non-coding RNA from Mirounga angustirostris (Northern elephant seal), 1740 nucleotides. RefSeq lists it as uncharacterized. The record is from RefSeq and is a predicted model, not a curated record. The transcript has 2 exons. Lineage: Eukaryota; Metazoa; Chordata; Mammalia; Carnivora; Phocidae.
GCCGCCUGCCGCGGACCGCGUGGGGAGGGAGCGGCCCGGAGGCCGGCCUCGCCGCCUCCCCCACCCGGGUGGCGUCCCGCCGGGCAGCCCGGGGCCGGCCGCCCUCUCGCUCACCGCGGAGUUGGGCGAGACGGGGAGUCGCCGCCUUGGCAGCAUGCGCCCUCCCCCGGGACCGGGCUCGAGGCAGGAAUGUGCUCCCGGUGCUCCCGGACCCGAGCCUACUUGUCGCCUCCUCCGGCUCCCGGGAAGCGGGCGGCCGAGCGCUGCCACCCCCGGGAGGACGGCUUGCCCGGCGCCCGAGCCCCGCUUCCCCCACCCGGAGCCGAGGGAGGGACGCGCGUUCCAGGGCUCGCGGUUGCUCGCGGCCGGCGGUCCGAGAGGCGCCGCGACCCGGGCACUUCUCGGUCUGGCAGUGGGCACGGCCGAUUCUGCUCACCCGUCUCCUGCGGGGAAGUCUUCUCCCUCUUCGCUGGCAGUUUAGAAAGAGGCAGCGUCCCCCUCACCUUUAAGGUGCUCAGCGGUCUGGAAAGGAGUGCGGGGUAGUACUUUUUCCCGUUGCCAGACUAGAGAGAAGGUCUCCGCCCGUGCGGUCUGUUGCAGGAGGGCCUUUUCUGGGAUUUGCAGCUCCUGUAUGCUGGGGGUAGGGUAGAAGUAUUGCCAAGCAGUGGCUUGGGGUGGCCUCCCAGCUCUUUUGUCAGUGUUUUCAUUGUUACUGUCAUUCACGGAAAGGGGCAGCUGGAGAUGGCAUCAGCACUUUUGCUCGGCAGCCUCACCAGUCUCUAGUCGCUCAACACCAAGCAGGUGCUGGAACUACCUAACGAAUUAGAUUAGGGUCUGAGCGAAUUUAGUCUUCUGUCGACACUGUCUACAAACAUUUUAGAGCUCUUUAUGUAAGAAAGCCUAGGGACUUUCCCUUUAAUAAACGUUUUGUUAGGACGACUGUUUUCUGGGAUUACUUUCAGGAGUCACAUUUCUGUUGGGUUGGGUAGUGACAUGGUUUGUGAGACGACAAAGAUUUGGAAGAAAAUUCAUUUCUCUGAAGUUGCUAAACGGGCUCAUAAAUACAUGCACCUUCCUGACUUACUGAAGAUGUGCUAUGUUAAGAAGACACAAAAGAAUCAUAAUGAUUGGAUUUGCAAGCCUAACAGGUAGCUGUCGUUUUGUACUAAGCAAAUGAUAUUUGGCUUUCCUUCAUGGUCCUAAAGUACUUCAUAAACAUUUAAUCAAUUCCCACAGCCUGAGAAUGUCAGUUAAGCUUUUCUUGUUCAACAUAUGGGGAUGUGCCCAAGACUCUGUACUAGCCAGUGGCAGAACAGGAAUUGAGAAAUGGGAGUCCCUGGCUCCUGGGCUUGUCCUCCAUUAAGUGCAUUAUUAAUAUUCAAUUUAUCAAUGCAUAGUUGUCUUUUCUGGGUUACAAGUCACUAAGCUGCUUCCUUCAAUGUGUUUUGAAGGGUUAGAAAGUCUCAGUUUUCACUUUCAUGGCCAUCUUUUGAUUUAUUUCUUUUAGUUUUGUUUUCUAUAUCUUUCUAGAAGUGUUUUAUACUUUUUUAUGUAGUUUGCCUUGAAAUUUGGGCAAAUGAUUCUGGAGGAAUUUUUAUAGAUUCUUGAAUAUUCUUAGGGUAGUAAAAUAAGACAUGGUUCACACUUUGGACUUGAAAAGACGUCUUCAGUAAUGUUCUCAAUUAUAAGAAGAAACCUUUAAUUCAGCUCAAAACAUCCUCUGAUUACAGCUAUUUAUUA